UUGCUCAACCCUUGAAAACCAUCAAGCACUUGCGCAAUCCAGCAGUUUGGCGCUCUGGGGUGUAUUUGAUAGUCAGCCUGAAUCACCUUGCGGAGAGUGUUGCUGCUGCUGCUCAGCAUGCUGUUAUACAUAUUUACCACGCCUCUGAACCAAUUGAAUUGCAGAGGCUCAUGUCCACACUCUCGCAGAACUGCCCAAUUGGAAGUGGAGCACUUCACCCCUAGAAUGCGCUUCAAAAAACCCAAGUGCCUGACCUGCAGAUCACUUUUGAACACUGAAUCCUGUUGCAAAA
This 292-nucleotide long non-coding RNA is filed under the name Dunaliella salina. RNAcentral describes it as "long non-coding RNA (DSAL_LNC000428)". The record is from RNAcentral. Lineage: Eukaryota; Viridiplantae; Chlorophyta; Chlorophyceae; Chlamydomonadales; Dunaliellaceae.